This 481-nucleotide ribosomal RNA is filed under the name uncultured bacterium. Its description in RNAcentral is "partial 16S ribosomal RNA". It matches the Rfam family "Bacterial small subunit ribosomal RNA", at positions 28 to 523 of the family's 1533-position model. The record is from RNAcentral.
GACGAACGCUGGCGGCGUGCUUAACACAUGCAAGUCGAGCGGUAAGGCUCCUUCGGGAGUACACGAGCGGCGAACGGGUGAGUAACACGUGAGCAAUCUGCCCUUCACUUCGGGAUAACCCUCGGAAACGAGAGCUAAUACCGAAUACGACCAGUCCAGACAUCUGAUGCUGGUGGAAAGUUCCGGCGGUGAAGGAUGAGCUCGCGGCCUAUCAGCUUGUUGGUGGGGUAACGGCCCACCAAGGCUUCGACGGGUAGCCGGCCUGAGAGGGUGACCGGCCACACUGGGACUGGGACACGGCCCAGACUCCUACGGGAGGCAGCAGUGGGGAAUAUUGGACAAUGGGCGAAAGCCUGAUCCAGCAACGCCGCGUGAGGGAUGACGGCCUUCGGGUUGUAAACCUCUUUCAGCAGGGACGAAGCGCAAGUGACGGUACCUGCAGAAGAAGCACCGGCCAACUACGUGCCAGCAGCCGCGGUAA